AUGAACGCUAGCGACAGGCUUAACACAUGCAAGUCGAGGGGUAACAGGGUAGCAAUACCGCUGACGACCGGCGCACGGGUGAGUAACGCGUAUAGCAACCUGGCCUAUAACUGGGGAAUAGCUCCCUGAAAGGGGAAUUAACACCGCAUAACACUAUGAUUCGCAUGGAUUAGUAGUUAAAUGUAGCGAUACAGGUUAUAGAUGGGCAUGCGUGACAUUAGCUAGUUGGUGAGGUAACGGCUCACCAAGGCUACGAUGUCUAGGGGUUCUGAGAGGAAGGUCCCCCACACUGGUACUGAGACACGGACCAGACUCCUACGGGAGGCAGCAGUGAGGAAUAUUGGUCAAUGGGCGCAAGCCUGAACCAGCCAUGUCGCGUGCAGGAAGACUCGCCCUAUGGGUUGUAAACUGCUUUUAUAGUAGAAGAAACACAUCUACGUGUAGAUGUCUGCCAGUAUACUAUGAAUAAGCAUCGGCUAACUCCGUGCCAGCCGCUGC
Molecule: ribosomal RNA, 498 nt
Filed under: uncultured bacterium
Lineage: Bacteria
Description: bacterial SSU rRNA
Rfam family: Bacterial small subunit ribosomal RNA
Source: RNAcentral